Molecule: ribosomal RNA, 1556 nt
Filed under: Staphylococcus aureus
Lineage: Bacteria; Bacillati; Bacillota; Bacilli; Caryophanales; Staphylococcaceae
Also listed under: 4 other names
Description: 16S ribosomal RNA
Rfam family: Bacterial small subunit ribosomal RNA
Source: RNAcentral
UUUUAUGGAGAGUUUGAUCCUGGCUCAGGAUGAACGCUGGCGGCGUGCCUAAUACAUGCAAGUCGAGCGAACGGACGAGAAGCUUGCUUCUCUGAUGUUAGCGGCGGACGGGUGAGUAACACGUGGAUAACCUACCUAUAAGACUGGGAUAACUUCGGGAAACCGGAGCUAAUACCGGAUAAUAUUUUGAACCGCAUGGUUCAAAAGUGAAAGACGGUCUUGCUGUCACUUAUAGAUGGAUCCGCGCUGCAUUAGCUAGUUGGUAAGGUAACGGCUUACCAAGGCAACGAUGCAUAGCCGACCUGAGAGGGUGAUCGGCCACACUGGAACUGAGACACGGUCCAGACUCCUACGGGAGGCAGCAGUAGGGAAUCUUCCGCAAUGGGCGAAAGCCUGACGGAGCAACGCCGCGUGAGUGAUGAAGGUCUUCGGAUCGUAAAACUCUGUUAUUAGGGAAGAACAUAUGUGUAAGUAACUGUGCACAUCUUGACGGUACCUAAUCAGAAAGCCACGGCUAACUACGUGCCAGCAGCCGCGGUAAUACGUAGGUGGCAAGCGUUAUCCGGAAUUAUUGGGCGUAAAGCGCGCGUAGGCGGUUUUUUAAGUCUGAUGUGAAAGCCCACGGCUCAACCGUGGAGGGUCAUUGGAAACUGGAAAACUUGAGUGCAGAAGAGGAAAGUGGAAUUCCAUGUGUAGCGGUGAAAUGCGCAGAGAUAUGGAGGAACACCAGUGGCGAAGGCGACUUUCUGGUCUGUAACUGACGCUGAUGUGCGAAAGCGUGGGGAUCAAACAGGAUUAGAUACCCUGGUAGUCCACGCCGUAAACGAUGAGUGCUAAGUGUUAGGGGGUUUCCGCCCCUUAGUGCUGCAGCUAACGCAUUAAGCACUCCGCCUGGGGAGUACGACCGCAAGGUUGAAACUCAAAGGAAUUGACGGGGACCCGCACAAGCGGUGGAGCAUGUGGUUUAAUUCGAAGCAACGCGAAGAACCUUACCAAAUCUUGACAUCCUUUGACAACUCUAGAGAUAGAGCCUUCCCCUUCGGGGGACAAAGUGACAGGUGGUGCAUGGUUGUCGUCAGCUCGUGUCGUGAGAUGUUGGGUUAAGUCCCGCAACGAGCGCAACCCUUAAGCUUAGUUGCCAUCAUUAAGUUGGGCACUCUAAGUUGACUGCCGGUGACAAACCGGAGGAAGGUGGGGAUGACGUCAAAUCAUCAUGCCCCUUAUGAUUUGGGCUACACACGUGCUACAAUGGACAAUACAAAGGGCAGCGAAACCGCGAGGUCAAGCAAAUCCCAUAAAGUUGUUCUCAGUUCGGAUUGUAGUCUGCAACUCGACUACAUGAAGCUGGAAUCGCUAGUAAUCGUAGAUCAGCAUGCUACGGUGAAUACGUUCCCGGGUCUUGUACACACCGCCCGUCACACCACGAGAGUUUGUAACACCCGAAGCCGGUGGAGUAACCUUUUAGGAGCUAGCCGUCGAAGGUGGGACAAAUGAUUGGGGUGAAGUCGUAACAAGGUAGCCGUAUCGGAAGGUGCGGCUGGAUCACCUCCUUUCUA